GAGUUUGAUCCUGGCUCAGACUGAACGCUGGCGGCAGGCUUAACACAUGCAAGUCGAGCGGUAACAGGAAAUAGCUUGCUAUUUUGCUGACGAGCGGCGGACGGGUGAGUAGUACUUGGGGAUCUGCCUGAUGGAGGGGGACAACCACUGGAAACGGUGGCUAAUACCGCAUAAUCUCUUCGGAGCAAAGUGGGGGACCUUCGGGCCUCACGCCAUCAGAUGAACCCAAGCAGGAUUAGGUAGUUGGUAGGGUAAUGGCCUACCAAGCCGACGAUCCUUAGCUGGUCUGAGAGGAUGAUCAGCCACACUGGGACUGAGACACGGCCCAGACUCCUACGGGAGGCAGCAGUGGGGAAUAUUGGACAAUGGGCGCAAGCCUGAUCCAGCCAUGCCGCGUGUGUGAAGAAGGCCUUCGGGUUGUAAAGCACUUUCAGUGGUGAGGAAGGCGUUGUCGUUAAUAGCGGCAACGAUUGACGUUAGCCACAGAAGAAGCACCGGCUAACUCCGUGCCAGCAGCCGCGGUAAUACGGAGGGUGCGAGCGUUAAUCGGAAUUACUGGGCGUAAAGCGCACGUAGGCGGCUUGUUAAGCAAGAUGUGAAAGCCCAGGGCUCAACCUUGGAAUAGCAUUUUGAACUGGCAGGCUAGAGUUUUGAAGAGGGUGGUAGAAUUUCCAGUGUAGCGGUGAAAUGCGUAGAUAUUGGAAGGAAUACCAGUGGCGGAGGCGGCCACCUGGUCAAAAACUGACGCCGA
This 751-nucleotide ribosomal RNA is filed under the name uncultured bacterium. Its description in RNAcentral is "bacterial SSU rRNA". It matches the Rfam family "Bacterial small subunit ribosomal RNA", at positions 9 to 749 of the family's 1533-position model. The record is from RNAcentral.